This 2036-nucleotide ribosomal RNA is filed under the name Pistorius bidens. RNAcentral describes it as "SSU rRNA". It matches the Rfam family "Eukaryotic small subunit ribosomal RNA". The record is from RNAcentral. Lineage: Eukaryota; Metazoa; Arthropoda; Malacostraca; Isopoda; Sphaeromatidae.
AAAGAUUAAGCCAUGCAUGUCUAAGUACGAGCCUUCCUUAGUGUGAAACCGCGAACGGCUCAUUAAAUCAGUCAUAAUCCAUUGGAUGCAGUUCAUCCCUACUCGGAUAACUGUGGCAAUUCUAGAGCUAAUACGUGCACUUGAGCUCCGACGCCGAGGGGGUCGGCUCCUUCGGGAGCCUCCCUCUCGGGGGAAGGGCGCAGUUAUUAGAAUCAUAAACCGAGGCGGGCUCUCGAGUCCGAAACCUCUCGGCUAUGGUGACUCUGGAUAACGGUUGCCAAGCGCUCAGGCCCUCGAGCCGGCGCUGCAUCUUUUCGAGUGACUGCCCUAUCAGCUUUCGAUCGUAGGAUCGGGGCCUACGAUGGCUGUAACGGGUAACGGGGAAUCAGGGUUCGAUUCCGGAGAGGGAGCCUGAGAAACGGCUACCACAUCUAAGGAAGGCAGCAGGCACGCAAAUUACCCAAUCCCGGUUCGGGGAGGUAGUGACGAUAAAUACCGAUGCGGGACUCAUCCGAGGCCUCGCAAUCGGAAUGAGCUCACCUUAAAAAAGUGGGCGAGGAUCGAUUGGAGGGCAAGUCUGGUGCCAGCAGCCGCGGUAAUUCCAGCUCCAAUAGCGUAUAUUAAAGUUGUUGGCGGUUAANNNNNNNNNNNNUCAAAGCAGGCNUAAAGCUCUUUACGCCUGAAUAGUAAUGCAUUGAAUGAUGGAACAGGACCUCGGUUCUGACUUAUUUUUUUCUCGGUUUUUCCCGAACCCGAGGUAAUGAUUAACGGGAACGGUCGGGGGCAUUAGUAUUGCGACGCGAGGGGUGAAAUCCAGUGACCGUCGCAAGACUACCUACUGCGAAAGCAUUUGCCAAGAACGCUUUCAUUAAUCAAGAACGAAAGUUAGAGGAUCGAAGGCGAUCAGAUACCGCCCUAGUUCUAACUAUAAACGAUGCCAACUAGCGAUCCGCGUACAGUCAUUCCCAAGACUGCGCGGGAAGCCCCCGGGAAACCUAAGUCUUUGGGUUCCGGGGGUAGUAUGGUUGCAAAGCUGAAACUUAAAGGAAUUGACGGAAGGGCACCACCAGGAGUGGAGCCUGCGGCUUAAUUUGACUCAACACGGGAAACCUCACCAGGCCCGGACACCGGAAGGAUUGACAGAUUGAGAGCUCUUUCUCGAUUCGGUGGUUGGUGGUGCAUGGCCGUUCUUAGUUGGUGGAGCGAUUUGUCUGGUUAAUUCCGAUAACGAACAAGACUCUGUCCUACUAACUAGUCGACGGAUCGUUUCCCGAGGAGGGUUUUCCCCCUACGGGCGAGCGGUUCGCUCGGCGGCUCGGCGGGCUUCGCCCCGGUUCGUCCCUGGCGGUGUCGUCGCGGCGGUCUCUUCGCCCCUUCUCCUUAUCCUCUUCCUCCCUUCGGGGCGGAGGGGGUGAGGGUUGGGGGUUUUCUCUCGCUUCUCCGACGCCCCGCUACACGGGUCGGGACGGGCCCAUUCGCCCGAGUCGUCCGCGGCUUAGCCGUUCGCUCAAGGGGUCCCAACGAGGGGCGUCCGUCGUAUAAAAUCUUCUUAGAGGGACCGGCGGUCUCGAACCGUACGAGAAAGAGCAAUAACAGGUCUGUGAUGCCCUUAGAUGUCCUGGGCCGCACGCGUGCUACAAUGGAGGGAGCAGCGUGCUUUCCCCCUCCGAGAGGAGUGGGUAACCCCUUGAAACCCCUUCCCGAUUGGGAUUGGGGGUUGCAAUGGUUGCCCAUAAACGAGGAAUCCCUUGUAAGCGCGAGUCAUAAGCUCGCGAUGAAUACGUCCCUGCCCUUUGUACACACCGCCCGUCGCUACUACCGAUGAACGAUUAAGUGAGAGCGUCGGACCGGCGCCCUCGGCAGCCCUCGGCUCGAAAACCGGACCGGAGAGGUAGCUCCCUCCCUUCGCGGAGGCGAAGGACCCUCUUCCGGACCCGGCGUGACCGAGUAAGCGCCCCGGGCUUCGCCGGAAAGACGUCCGAACUUGAUCGUUUAGAGGAAGUAAAAGUCGUAACAAGGUAUCUGUAGGUGAACCU